GGUACUGUAGCUCAGUGGCAGAGCACUUGCCUUGUAUGUGUAAGGCACUGAGUUUGAUCCUCAGCACCA
Molecule: transfer RNA, 69 nt
Filed under: Ictidomys tridecemlineatus (thirteen-lined ground squirrel)
Lineage: Eukaryota; Metazoa; Chordata; Mammalia; Rodentia; Sciuridae
Description: Spermophilus tridecemlineatus (thirteen-lined ground squirrel) tRNA
Rfam family: tRNA
About the family: Transfer RNA (tRNA) molecules are approximately 80 nucleotides in length. Their secondary structure includes four short double-helical elements and three loops (D, anti-codon, and T loops).
Source: Rfam by way of RNAcentral